AGUGGACGCUGGCGGUAGGCCUAACACAUGCAAGUCGAACGGCAGCACAGUUAUAGCUUGCUCUUACGGUUGGCGAGUGGCGGGUGGGUGAUGAAUACAUCGGAAUCUACUUUGUCGUGGGGGCUAACGGAGGGAAACUAACGCUAAUACGGCAUACUACCUACGGGUGAGAGCAGGGGAUCUUCGGACCUUGCGCGAGUGCAUGAGCCGAUGCCGGAUGAGCUAGUUGGCGGGGUAAAGGCCCACCAAGGCGACGAUCCGUAGCUGGUCUGAGAGGGUGAUCAGGCACGCUGGAGCUGACAGACGGUCCAGGAUCCUGCGGCAGGCCGGAGUGGGACAUGUUGGACAAUGGGCGCAAGCCUGAUCCAGCUAUGCCGCCUGAGUCAAGAAGGCCUUCGGCUUGUAAAGCCCUUUUGUUGUGAAAGACGAGCAGCAGGUUAACACAGCGCUGUUCUGACGGUACCAAAGAAUAAGCACCGGCUAACUUCGUG
Molecule: ribosomal RNA, 491 nt
Filed under: uncultured bacterium
Lineage: Bacteria
Description: partial 16S ribosomal RNA
Rfam family: Bacterial small subunit ribosomal RNA
Source: RNAcentral